RNAcentral lists this ribosomal RNA (569 nucleotides) under uncultured bacterium. Its description in RNAcentral is "partial 16S ribosomal RNA". It matches the Rfam family "Bacterial small subunit ribosomal RNA", at positions 355 to 914 of the family's 1533-position model. The record is from RNAcentral.
UAGGGAAUCUUCGGCAAUGGGGGCAACCCUGACCGAGCAACGCCGCGUGAGUGAAGAAGGUUUUCGGAUCGUAAAGCUCUGUUGUAAGUCAAGAACGGGUGUGAGAGUGGAAAGUUCACACUGUGACGGUAGCUUACCAGAAAGGGACGGCUAACUACGUGCCAGCAGCCGCGGUAAUACGUAGGUCCCGAGCGUUGUCCGGAUUUAUUGGGCGUAAAGCGAGCGCAGGCGGUUUGAUAAGUCUGAAGUUAAAGGCUGUGGCUCAACCAUAGUUCGCUUUGGAAACUGUCAAACUUGAGUGCAGAAGGGGAGAGUGGAAUUCCAUGUGUAGCGGUGAAAUGCGUAGAUAUAUGGAGGAACACCGGUGGCGAAAGCGGCUCUCUGGUCUGUAACUGACGCUGAGGCUCGAAAGCGUGGGGAGCGAACAGGAUUAGAUACCCUGGUAGUCCACGCCGUAAACGAUGAGUGCUAGGUGUUGGAUCCUUUCCGGGAUUCAGUGCCGAAGCUAACGCAUUAAGCACUCCGCCUGGGGAGUACGACCGCAAGGUUGAAACUCUAAAUGAAUUGAC